Molecule: ribosomal RNA, 1372 nt
Filed under: uncultured bacterium
Lineage: Bacteria
Description: bacterial SSU rRNA
Rfam family: Bacterial small subunit ribosomal RNA
Source: RNAcentral
GAUAAACGCUGGCGGCGUGCCUAAUACAUGCAAGUCGAGCGAACGGACGAGAAGCUUGCUUCUCUGAUGUUAGCGGCGGACGGGUGAGUAACACGUGGAUAACCUACCUAUAAGACUGGGAUAACUUCGGGAAACCGGAGCUAAUACCGGAUAAUAUUUUGAACCGCAUGGUUCAAAAGUGAAAGACGGUCUUGCUGUCACUUAUAGAUGGAUCCGCGCUGCAUUAGCUAGUUGGUAAGGUAACGGCUUACCAAGGCAACGAUGCAUAGCCGACCUGAGAGUGUGAUCGGCCACACUGGAACUGAGACACGGUCCAGACUCCUACGGGAGGCAGCAGUAGGGAAUCUUCCGCAAUGGGCGAAAGCCUGACGGAGCAACGCCGCGUGAGUGAUGAAGGUCUUCGGAUCGUAAAACUCUGUUAUUAGGGAAGAACAUAUGUGUAAGUAACUGUGCACAUCUUGACGGUACCUAAUCAGAAAGCCACGGCUAACUACGUGCCAGCAGCCGCGGUAAUACGUAGGUGGCAAGCGUUAUCCGGAAUUAUUGGGCGUAAAGCGCGCGUAGGCGGUUUUUUAAGUCUGAUGUGAAAGCCCACGGCUCAACCGUGGCGGGUCAUUGGAAACUGGAAAACUUGAGUGCAGAAGAGGAAAGUGGAAUUCCAUGUGUAGCGGUGAAAUGCGCAGAGAUAUGGAGGAACACCAGUGGCGAAGGCGACUUUCUGGUCUGUAACUGACGCUGAUGUGCGAAAGCGUGGGGAUCAAACAGGAUUAGAUACCCUGGUAGUCCACGCCGUAAACGAUGAGUGCUAAGUGUUAGGGGGUUUCCGCCCCUUAGUGCUGCAGCUAACGCAUUAAGCACUCCGCCUGGGGAGUACGACCGCAAGGUUGAAACUCAAAGGAAUUGACGGGGACCCGCACAAGCGGUGGAGCAUGUGGUUUAAUUCGAAGCAACGCGAAGAACCUUACCAAAUCUUGACAUCCUUUGACAACUCUAGAGAUAGAGCCUUCCCCUUCGGGGGACAAAGUGACAGGUGGUGCAUGGUUGUCGUCAGCUCGUGUCGUGAGAUGUUGGGUUAAGUCCCGCAACGAGCGCAACCCUUAAGCUUAGUUGCCAUCAUUAAGUUGGGCACUCUAAGUUGACUGCCGGUGACAAACCGGAGGAAGGUGGGGAUGACGUCAAAUCAUCAUGCCCCUUAUGAUUUGGGCUACACACGUGCUACAAUGGACAAUACAAAGGGCAGCGAAACCGCGAGGUCAAGCAAAUCCCAUAAAGUUGUUCUCAGUUCGGAUUGUAGUCUGCAACUCGACUACAUGAAGCUGGAAUCGCUAGUAAUCGUAGAUCAGCAUGCUACGGUGAAUACGUUCCCGGGUCU